Homo sapiens (human) is the source of this 535-nucleotide long non-coding RNA. NCBI's taxonomy places the organism in Eukaryota, Metazoa, Chordata, Mammalia, Primates, Hominidae. The record is from Ensembl.
CUUUUUUCUAAUGGAGGAAGGUGGAAGGGAGAGUUCAUGCAACUUCCCAGUGAGAUCCACCAUCGUUUCUCCUGCCUAUGCCCACAGGGCACUUGGUUUAUCCUGCAACUGCUGCAAGUGCUCUCUCGUGCUCUCUCUGUCUCCAGUGAUAAGCUGACCAGAUGCCUUGAAUUAAGUACAGGGUCACCAACAUCUCUAAUAGAAUCCAACUGUGGAAUAGAAAAACUAUUUCGUCUAAGAAGUGGAUCCUAGCUGUCAAAUAAAAAAUCGCUGUUGAAUGCUGUAAAGUACAUUUUUACACCCAUGUACAAUUUAGAGCUUAGGAACUCAUGGAAAAAAAUAGAGUUAACACGGAUAAAGGGAUUUUAAAAGGCGAGAGAGGGAAGAGUUUCUUAAGGAGUCUCCAAUGACAAAAAUGUGUUCAUUUUCUGAGACCUCCAGAAUGAAUUACUAAGGUAUCCUCAAACAAAAGUGGUUUUGCUAUUCAGAAAUUCAUAUGUUCUAAAUAGAGAAAAUUAAAAAUUAAAAAGACAUG